Molecule: ribosomal RNA, 408 nt
Filed under: uncultured bacterium
Lineage: Bacteria
Description: partial 16S ribosomal RNA
Rfam family: Bacterial small subunit ribosomal RNA
Source: RNAcentral
GACGAACGCUGGCGGCGUGCUUAACACAUGCAAGUCGAACGAAGUGGCGAACGGGUGAGUAACGCGUAAUCAACCUGCCCUUCAGAGGGGGACAACAGUUGGAAACGACUGCUAAUACCGCAUACUGAAGGAGGGGAUUGCGGCUGAUUAGCUAGUUGGGGGGGUAACGGCCCACCACGGCGAGGAUCAGUAGCCGGGUUGAGGGGAUGAAUGGCAAAAAUGGGACGGGGACAAGGCCCAGACUCCUACGGGAGGCAGCAGUGGGGAAUCUUCCGAAAUGGACGAAAGUCUGACGGAGCAACGCCGCGUGAGUGAUGACGGCCUUCGGGUUGUAAAGCUCUGUUAAUCGGGACGCGGUACCGGAAUAGAAAGCCAUGGCUAACUACGUGCCAGCAGCCGCGGUAAUUC